RNAcentral lists this ribosomal RNA (253 nucleotides) under uncultured bacterium. Its description in RNAcentral is "partial 16S ribosomal RNA". It matches the Rfam family "Bacterial small subunit ribosomal RNA", at positions 524 to 776 of the family's 1533-position model. The record is from RNAcentral.
UACGUAGGGUGCGAGCGUUAAUCGGAAUUACUGGGCGUAAAGUGUGCGCAGGCGGCAGAGCAAGUCGAGUGUGAAAGCCCCGGGCUUAACUUGGGAAUUGCGCUCGAAACUACUUUGCUGGAGUGUGGCAGAGGGGGGUGGAAUUCCACGUGUAGCAGUGAAAUGCGUAGAUAUACGGAGGAACACCAGAGGCGAAGGCGGAUCGCUGGGCCAACACUGACGCUGAGACGCGAAAGCUAGGGUAGCAAACGGG